RNAcentral lists this ribosomal RNA (468 nucleotides) under uncultured bacterium. RNAcentral's name for it is "partial 16S ribosomal RNA". It matches the Rfam family "Bacterial small subunit ribosomal RNA", at positions 28 to 507 of the family's 1533-position model. The record is from RNAcentral.
GACGAACGCUGGCGGCGUGCUUAACACAUGCAAGUCGAACGGAAAGGCCCUGCUUUUGUGGGGUGCUCGAGUGGCGAACGGGUGAGUAACACGUGAGUAACCUGCCCUUGACUUUGGGAUAACUUCAGGAAACUGGGGCUAAUACCGGAUAGGAGCUCCUGCUGCAUGGUGGGGGUUGGAAAGUUUCGGCGGUUGGGGAUGGACUCGCGGCUUAUCAGCUUGUUGGUGGGGUAGUGGCUUACCAAGGCUUUGACGGGUAGCCGGCCUGAGAGGGUGACCGGGCACAAUGGGACUGAGAUACGGCCCAGACUCCUACGGGAGGCAGCAGUGGAGAAUAUUGCACAAUGGGCGGAAGCCUGAUGCAGAAACGCCGCGUGCGGGAUAACGGCCUUCGGGUUGUAAACAGCUUUCGCCUGUGACGAAGAGUGAGUGACGGUAAUGGGUAAAGAAGCACCGGCUAACUACGUG